UGCCAAACUGCUGUAUUGUUACUGCAUAGCUGCUACUGCAUAGCUGCUACUGCAUUGCUGCUGUAUUGCUACGGCAUUGCUGCUGCUACUGCAUUGCUGUCUGCAUUGCUGUCUGCCACAGUUAUUACUGCAUUACUCCCUUACUGUAUUACUGCAUAGCUGUCUGCUGUAGUUCUCAGUUACAAUAGUUUAUUGUUUUGUAGGUUAUUUUAGUGGUUUAUUGUCUUGUAAGGUAUCUUGGUGGAUUUUGGUGAAUCGGGUUAACUAGUGGUUUUAUUUGGGUUUGGUUUGUUGGAUAGUGAUUGUAGUUGUAGUAGUAUAGAUUAAGUAGAGUUGAUUAGUCGUUUAGUUUUUUGUUUAUCUAGUUGUUUACGUAUAUUUUCUUUUGCACAUAUAUUUUUAUUGAUUUGUUUUUUUUUCCUCGUGUAAAUAAAGUGUAUAUAAGUUCA
Molecule: non-coding RNA, 449 nt
Organism: Biomphalaria pfeifferi
Lineage: Eukaryota; Metazoa; Mollusca; Gastropoda; Planorbidae
Source: the annotation of a GenBank genome assembly